AGGUGGGUCUUGUAAUAAUAAAGAAACUGCCUCGGCCCUCAUAGGACAGAAAAUUAGGUAGGCGGAGUAGACAGAAGAGAAUUCUGGGAAAAAGAAGCUGAGUGAGGAGUCGCCAUGAUGCUCCCGCUCCAGACAGACGCAGGUUAAGAUCCUCCCUGAUUUCCAACAUGGAGUCAAUGCCAGUGACUCUCCUGGGAUCUUCUGGCUGGAUUAGAACUGCCGAAGCAUCCAUAUCUGUGGGAUGAACAACACUGUUGUCUGUUUUCCCGAGUUUUCCAGCCCAGUAGAGUACUUCUGCCAUGUUCAAGUCAGACACCCGACUCCAGCUGUGAGUCAGCCCAGGAUUUGCCCCCUGAAAUCUUUUGACAAGCCACGUUUCUCCCCUCCAGUUGGAACCAUACAGCUGCUGCGAAGACUCGGGAUGGUGCUGAACAGUCAGUCAUGCAUUCAGCCUGUGAUCAACCCCCAAAGAACUCUUUGAAGCUCUAAGAAAGGCUCAGAGCAAUACCACAGGCCUGAGGAUCCUUACAGCAUUCUUAUUAUUUUGAC
Long non-coding RNA from Alexandromys fortis (reed vole), 549 nucleotides. RefSeq lists it as uncharacterized. The transcript is spliced from 3 exons. Lineage: Eukaryota; Metazoa; Chordata; Mammalia; Rodentia; Cricetidae. The record is from RefSeq and is a predicted model, not a curated record.